GGUAAAGUGCCUGAUUAAAGGAUUAUUUUGAUAGAAUAAAUCAAGUAACUUACAUUACCUUUACCU
This 66-nucleotide transfer RNA is filed under the name Carcinoscorpius rotundicauda (Southeast Asian horseshoe crab). Its description in RNAcentral is "tRNA-Ile". The record is from RNAcentral. Lineage: Eukaryota; Metazoa; Arthropoda; Merostomata; Xiphosura; Limulidae.